GGGGGUGUAAGGUUUCGACAGAUAUCUAGAAGUAUAAAUAGCGAGUAGUGGAUUCUCGUUGGCCACUAUAAAAACGAGAAUUAAAAAUUAAACGCAGAUAGAAAUGAAUUUGCAUUAGCUGCCUAAGGUUGGCGGCAUGUUCAUACAUUCUUUGCUAGAGGGAAUAUAUGGGCAUCGACUUAUCUAGCUAACAAAUCUAACCUAUGACUUUAAGUUAGAGGGUAUUUUAAAGUCAUAUUGUAGCAUAUUUUUGUAAAUGUUCUAGUGCUAUAAUAUUAAAUUAAACAUUUACUGCACUCGGAGAAGUUUAUAUGAAAGGAUUUUUGGACACGAGUUCAAUUCUCGUCACCUCCACCA
RNAcentral lists this transfer-messenger RNA (357 nucleotides) under Clostridia. Its description in RNAcentral is "CAG-465 sp944388565 Standard tmRNA". It matches the Rfam family "transfer-messenger RNA". From Rfam's summary of the family: Bacterial tmRNA, also known as 10Sa RNA or SsrA, is named for its dual tRNA and mRNA-like properties. Lineage: Bacteria; Bacillati; Bacillota. RNAcentral also lists the same sequence under 1 other name. The record is from RNAcentral.